Molecule: ribosomal RNA, 253 nt
Filed under: uncultured prokaryote
Description: partial 16S ribosomal RNA
Rfam family: Bacterial small subunit ribosomal RNA
Source: RNAcentral
UACAGAGGUCCCAAGCGUUGUUCGGAUUCAUUGGGCGUAAAGGGUGUGUAGGUGGCGCCGUAAGUCGGGUGUGAAAUCUCGGGGCUUAACUCCGAAACUGCAUUCGAUACUGCGGUGCUUGAGGACUGGAGAGGAGACUGGAAUUCAUGGUGUAGCAGUGAAAUGCGUAGAGAUGCGGAGGAACACCGAUGGCGAGGGCAGCCCUCUGGGCUAACACUGACGCUGAGGCACGAAAGCGUGGGGAGCAAACAGG